ACGAACGCUGGCGGCGUGCCUCAUCCAUGCAAGUAGCACGCUGAAGAGAGGAGCUUGCUCUUCUUGGAUGAGUUGCGAACGGGUGAGUAACGCGUAGGUAACCUGCCUUGUAGCGGGGGAUAACUAUUGGAAACGAUAGCUAAUACCGCAUAACAAUGGAUGACACAUGUCAUUUAUUUGAAAGGGGCAAUUGCUCCACUACAAGAUGGACCUGCGUUGUAUUAGCUAGUAGGUGAGGUAAUGGCUCACCUAGGCGACGAUACAUAGCCGACCUGAGAGGGUGAUCGGCCACACUGGGACUGAGACACGGCCCAGACUCCUACGGGAGGCAGCAGUAGGGAAUCUUCGGCAAUGGGGGCAACCCUGACCGAGCAACGCCGCGUGAGUGAAGAAGGUUUUCGGAUCGUAAAGCUCUGUUGUAAGUCAAGAACGGGUGUGAGAGUGGAAAGUUCACACUGUGACGGUAGCUUACCAGAAAGGGACGGCUAACUACGUG
This 496-nucleotide ribosomal RNA is filed under the name uncultured bacterium. Its description in RNAcentral is "partial 16S ribosomal RNA". It matches the Rfam family "Bacterial small subunit ribosomal RNA", at positions 29 to 507 of the family's 1533-position model. The record is from RNAcentral.